This 468-nucleotide ribosomal RNA is filed under the name uncultured bacterium. RNAcentral describes it as "partial 16S ribosomal RNA". It matches the Rfam family "Bacterial small subunit ribosomal RNA", at positions 28 to 507 of the family's 1533-position model. The record is from RNAcentral.
GACGAACGCUGGCGGCGUGCUUAACACAUGCAAGUCGAACGGAAGCGCACUGAAAGCUUGCUGUUCCCGCAUGCCAGUGGCGUACGGGAGAGGAAAGCAUCCGGACCUUGACUUUCGGAUGGGUUCACGAAACGGAAGCUACUCCCAAAUCGGAGCCCCUGCCGCAGGGUGCGGGUGGGAAAGUUUCGGCGGUUGGGGAUGGUUGCGCGGCUUAUCAGCUUGUUGGUGGGGUAGGGGCUUACCAAGGCUGUGACGGGUAGCCGGCCUGAGAGGGUGACCGGCCACAUUGGGACUGAGAUAGGGGCCAGACGGCUACGGGAGGCAGCAGUGGGGAAUAUUGCACAAUGGGCCGAAGCCUGAUGCAGCAACGCCGCGUGGGGGAUGACGGCUUUCGGGUUGUAAACCGCUUUCGCUUGUGACGCAGCGGGAGUGACGGUAAUGGAUGAAGAAGCACCGGCUAACUACGUG